UAGUAGCUCUAGCAAUAGCCAACUAACACUAAAUCCGAGUCCUUUCUCAUUGGUUACCUUAGCUUAGGAUCCGGUGCGAUCUUUAGCAUCUUAUGCUAUCCUUCAUUCCGAAAGAUCAUUGAGGAACAUAAAUCUUUCAAGUUUCUUCCCUAAGUGAUGGGAAAAGUGCCAACAGCUGUUGUAAAGUGAUCGGUAAAACUAACAAAGUUCGGAAGUAACAAUUUAUUGUAUUACGUAUGAGCUUAGUUUCCUGACUCAAAAUAUGAGAGAAGACAUUAGAACUUAUUUAGUGGAGACUGGUGAGAUAUGCAGAUUGAAGGACUUUGUGAAAAGAAGAUUGACAGAACAUGAUUGGAGAGGAGAAAUGAAAACUUAUUGCAGAGGUUGCUGAUUUUUUUUUUUU
Stegodyphus dumicola is the source of this 403-nucleotide long non-coding RNA. The record is from RefSeq and is a predicted model, not a curated record. NCBI's taxonomy places the organism in Eukaryota, Metazoa, Arthropoda, Arachnida, Araneae, Eresidae.